AGGGUUAUGGCUCAGUGGCAGAGUACAUGCUUAGGAAGCACAAGGUCCUGGGUUCAACCCCCAGUACCUCCA
RNAcentral lists this transfer RNA (72 nucleotides) under Camelus bactrianus (Bactrian camel). It matches the Rfam family "tRNA". From Rfam's summary of the family: Transfer RNA (tRNA) molecules are approximately 80 nucleotides in length. The record is from Rfam by way of RNAcentral. Lineage: Eukaryota; Metazoa; Chordata; Mammalia; Artiodactyla; Camelidae. RNAcentral also lists the same sequence under 2 other names.